CUCUGGAAACUUCAUUUCUCACAGAGCUUCUGACCUAGUCACUUUUCCUGACAUUGACAGAAGAUGAUUAUUUCUUCCUGGCUCUUCCUAUGUAGUCUCCAAUAAUUGGGUACAGCUGCCAAAGUUACCCAAACAUAUGCCUGUAAAACUGUGGUAAAUGUCUCACGUUUUGUCCUUGUACUACAUGGAUGUUAGUGCGGGCAGUUUCCACAUCUUUACACCUUUUCUAGUCUCCAGAGAAGAGGCAGCUAUUUUCUGGAAAGGUUCUUCUAAGAAUCUCAGCGUUAUUACCAAACCCCAGCAUUUAAGAGGGGUGUUAAAAUUAACCCCACCAAGUUUUCUCUGGGAUUAGCAGGAGGGACAAGGCUUUUCAGCAGCCAGUCAAAGCAGCAGCAGCAAAGCAGUUGGCUUGUGAGGCUACACAGAAUUACCUGUUGCCAGCCCCUGGUGUGGGCACAUUUUCAGCCACAGUCUCCCAGCAGUGAAUUCUCUUCACCAGCAGCUUGUAAAGCACAAGAACUGAUGGACUUUGUGCCCUGUGCUUGGCCUCCAACAACCCCCAGACCAUGACAGAGAAGCUACAGUGCCAUGCCAAUAGAGGAUCCUCGAGUCACAGCUGAAGAAGCCACAUUAACAUGACUCACAGAAUCACAAUGGAAAUUCUGAGGAAUUUCAUAAAUCAGAGUGAGCCAUUGCUGCACUCUGACAUUCAGCAAUUUUCCUGAAGAGAGAUUUAGUGCUACUAAAAAACAAGUAAUUCAUAGGUAGAAAAAAAUAGGCAAAUCCAUUUUCCUCCCAACUUGUUUGACUGACCUUGUGGUACAGGUAGGGAUGAUAAAGGUCAAAACUGCAUUUUUUGGUAACAAUCACCUUCUCCUGUAUGUAAAGAUUCAUAUAAAUGUAGAACUGCUGGAACAUCUAUGUAGAAAUGUUUACUCUGGGGUUUGGGUGCCUAUGCCCAGAUGCUGAGGGCUGCCAGGGCUCUGUGAGGGGAGCCCUCAGCCAGGCCGCGUCAUAUUGAGAAAGGGCAAAACCUGCAGGGAGUGAGGGGAAAAGUGUGAGGAAUGUCCCCGGAGUGAGGGGAAAAGUGUGAGGAAUGUCCCUGGGAGCGGCUGUGCUGGAUUCCCUGGCAGCCAGCACAGAGCAAAUCCACACUGCUGCCUGUGGCAGUCUGUGCUGAAGCAGGGGGUGUUUCCUGAGGGAACACCGCAGCCCGUGGAGCGCCCACACCGGAGCAACAGAGAGGGGCUGAAAUGGACUGAGCACAGCCCACAUUCCCCCUCCCUUCGGCCCUGCUCAGGGGGCAGGAAGAGGUGGAGCAGUUUGGAACAGAGAAAUGGAGCUAAGCUUGCAAAAAACAGAGUAUGAGGGGAAGGUUUCUGUUUUCUGAACAUGGACCCAGUGAAGGCUGGCAAAUACAGAAUAAGAAUCAGCAGUCUAAGCCUGCCUUGAUGUACCUUCUCUCCAAUAUUCAAGCCUUCAAAAUAUCACAGAUUACUGGCUGAAGAUUUAUGUAGUAGACACUACACUGUGGUGUACUCAUUGGGAUUAAUUUUUCCAAUCACCAAGCAAGGAUCCCUAAAAUUGCCUCUCCAUGGUAAAAUAAGAUCAAGGCUGAGAAGGCUUUUCCAAUCUAUGGUAUUCUGUGCAAAAGAACAAUACAGAAUUUCCAUUAAAAACUGCAGCAUUUCUGUCUCAACCCCCAUGUCUCUUCCUCUCAAUUUCAUUAGCUGCUCCCAAUGACAAAUGAUCAACUCAUAGUAGCUCUGUAACAGUGCAGCCAAAUUGAACAUUACUCUUGGAUUAUAGAGAAGUAAGUGUUGUAUCUACUGGCUUGAAUCAAAGGACAGUAAAUCAGCAUUCCACUUCUGCCCUGAUUACACAAGUGUAGCUCAUGUAGCUUUUACAAUACUUCUCCCCCACUCCAGUGUGCAUCUCCUUCAUGCUCUAAAUUGGCUUUCACCACUUUACUGCUGUAUUUCAGACAUCUUCCAAUGCAAACUGAACAAAGCUCAUGGUUUCCCCUUGUUGGCCUUGAAAAGUUUCCUUGUAGUUUAUGUGAGCACAGGAAACCUGUUCCAGGUCAUCCCUCACACGUACCCCACACCACAGGGUCCUACAGCUGAUUUCAGCUGAGAAGCACGUAGUAGCAGAAUAAGCUGUUUACACAAUAAUGUUAUGUGUAUAAUUAGCAACUAUCCCA
This is a non-coding RNA of Cyanistes caeruleus (blue tit), 2203 nucleotides long. The record is from RefSeq and is a predicted model, not a curated record. Lineage: Eukaryota; Metazoa; Chordata; Aves; Passeriformes; Paridae.